CUGCUGCCUUCCGUAGGAGUCUGGUCCGUGUCUCAGUACCAGUGUGGGGGACCUUCCUCUCAGAACCCCUACGCAUCGUCGCCACGGUGGGCCGUUACCCCGCCGUCUAGCUAAUGCGCCGCAUGCCCAUCCUCUUCCGAUGAAUCUUUCCUCGACCUCGGAUGCCCGAAACCGAUAUACGCGGGAUUAGCCUCCCUUUCGGAAGGUUGUCCCCCUGAAGAGGGCAGGUUGCAUACGUGUUACUCACCCGUGCGCCGGUCGCCGGCAAAGG
RNAcentral lists this ribosomal RNA (271 nucleotides) under uncultured bacterium. Its description in RNAcentral is "partial 16S ribosomal RNA". The record is from RNAcentral.